RNAcentral lists this transfer RNA (74 nucleotides) under Salinivibrio phage CW02. It matches the Rfam family "tRNA". Rfam says of the family: Transfer RNA (tRNA) molecules are approximately 80 nucleotides in length. Their secondary structure includes four short double-helical elements and three loops (D, anti-codon, and T loops). Further hydrogen bonds mediate the characteristic L-shaped molecular structure. tRNAs have two regions of fundamental functional importance: the anti-codon, which is responsible for specific mRNA codon recognition, and the 3' end, to which the tRNAs corresponding amino acid is attached (by aminoacyl-tRNA synthetases). tRNAs cope with the degeneracy of the genetic code in two manners: having more than one tRNA (with a specific anti-codon) for a particular amino acid; and 'wobble' base-pairing, i.e. permitting non-standard base-pairing at the 3rd anti-codon position. Lineage: Duplodnaviria; Heunggongvirae; Uroviricota; Caudoviricetes; Zobellviridae. The record is from Rfam by way of RNAcentral.
GCCCCGUUAGUUCAAUUGGAUAGAGCAACGGCCUUCUAAGCCGUGAGUUACAGGUUCGAAUCCUGUACGGGGUG